This 384-nucleotide ribosomal RNA is filed under the name Crassicorophium bonellii. RNAcentral's name for it is "partial large subunit ribosomal RNA". It matches the Rfam family "Eukaryotic large subunit ribosomal RNA", at positions 25 to 406 of the family's 3401-position model. Lineage: Eukaryota; Metazoa; Arthropoda; Malacostraca; Amphipoda; Corophiidae. The record is from RNAcentral.
CCGCUGAAUUUAAGCAUAUAAGUAAGCGGAGGAAAAGAAACCAAAUGGGAUUCCCUUAGUAAUGGCGAAUGAACCGGGAUCAGCUCAAAUUGAGAAUCGUCGCCUUGAUGGCGGUGAAUUGUAGUCUGAAGGUGGUUACCAGUGAGGACGCCAGAGUAAUUCUCUUGGGAUAGAGCUUCGUAGAGGGUGAGAUACCCGUCUGCCUCUAGCUUUCUCCUCGCGUACGGUAGCACCCUAACGAGUCGCGUUCCUCGGAAGUGGAGCGCUAAGUAGGUGGUAAAUUUCACCUAAAGCUAAAUAUUGAACCGAGACCGAUAGUAAACAAGUACCGKGAGGGAAAGGUGAAAAGAACUUUGAAGAGAGAGUUCAGUCMUAGCUGUUUCC